RNAcentral lists this ribosomal RNA (419 nucleotides) under uncultured bacterium. RNAcentral describes it as "bacterial SSU rRNA". It matches the Rfam family "Bacterial small subunit ribosomal RNA", at positions 506 to 927 of the family's 1533-position model. The record is from RNAcentral.
GGCCAGCAGCCGCGGUAAUACGUAGGGGGUUAGCGUUGUCCGGAUUUACUGGGUGUAAAGGGCGCGUAGGCGGGUUUGUAAGUCAGAGGUGAAAUCCUGCAGCUUAACUGCAGAGCUGCCUUUGAUACUGCAAAUCUUGAGUUCAGAAGAGAGAGAUGGAAUUCCAGGUGUAGUGGUGAAAUACGUAGAUAUCUGGAAGAACACCAGUGGCGAAGGCGGUCUCUUGGUCUGUAACUGACGCUGAGGCGCGAAAGCGUGGGUAGCAAACAGGAUUAGAUACCCUGGUAGUCCACGCUGUAAACGAUGAAUACUAGAUGUUGGGCCUGAGGGCUCAGUGUCGCAGCUAACGCAUUAAGUAUUCCACCUGGGGAGUACGAUCGCAAGGUUGAAACUCAAAGGAAUUGACGGGGGCCCGCACA